Molecule: long non-coding RNA, 520 nt
Filed under: Citrus sinensis (sweet orange)
Lineage: Eukaryota; Viridiplantae; Streptophyta; Magnoliopsida; Sapindales; Rutaceae
Description: long non-coding RNA (CSIN_LNC004109)
Source: RNAcentral
UAGGAACCGCUGAUCCUGUAAACGUUGUGAGCAAAUUGAGAAAGUAUUGGCCGACGACAGAUAUAAUAUUAGUUGGGCCAGCAAAGGAGCCGGAGAAGCCAAAGGAGGAGCCAAAGAAGGAAGAGCCGAAGAAGGAAGAGGAAGCUAAGAAAGAAGAGCCAAAGAAAGAAGAAGAAGCUAAGAAAGAAGAGCCCAAAAAAGAAGAACCCAAGAAAGAAGAAGAAAAGAAAGAGGAAGAGAAAAAGAAAGAAGCGGCACCGGCACCGGUACCACCACCGGAUCCUGUUUUAGAGCUUGUUAAAGCUUACAGAGCUUAUAAUCCUCACUUGACCACUCAUUACCAUGUUCAAAGCAUUGAGGAGAAUCCAAACGCUUGUGUUAUUUGUUAAUUUCUCAACAGAAACUAAAGACAUUUUGCUAAGUUGGUGACUUGAUUUGAAUGUCAUCAAUUCUUAUAGUAAGCAGGCAACAUCAAGAUAUCAAGGCAAUAUCAAGAAAUCAAACUUGUGUAUAUAAAAAG